GAUGAAGAACGUAGCGAAAUGCGAUAAGUAGUGUGAAUUGCACAAUUCAGUGAAUCAUCGAAUCUUUGAACGCACAUUGCGCCCCUUGGUAUCCCGAGGGGCAUGCCUGUUCGAGCGUCAUUUCACCACUCAAGCCUGGCUUGGUGUUGGGCGACGUCCUCUUUGGGGACGCGCCUCGAAACGCUCGGCGGCGUGGCACCGGCUUUAAGCGUAGCAGAAUCUUUCGCUUUGGAAGUCGGGGCCCCGUCUGCCGGAAGACCUGCUCGCAAGGUUGACCUCGGAUCAGGCAGGGAUACCCGCUGAACUUAAGCAUAUCAAUAAGCGGAGGA
Molecule: unclassified non-coding RNA, 329 nt
Filed under: soil metagenome
Description: partial contains 5.8S ribosomal RNA, internal transcribed spacer 2, and large subunit ribosomal RNA
Rfam family: 5.8S ribosomal RNA (bases 1-120)
Source: RNAcentral